ACGCUGGCGGCGUGCCUAACACAUGCAAGUCGGACGCGAAAGCCCCGCAAGGGGCCGGUAGAGUGGCGCACGGGUGAGUAACACGUGGAUAACCUGCCUGGCAGAGGGGACUAACCUCCCGAAAGGGGGGCUAAUGCCGCAUAAGACCCCUGGGCGAAGGCCCGGGGGUUGAAAGGGGAGACCCGCUGGCAGAGGGGUCCGCGCCUGAUUAGCUGGUUGGUGAGGUAACGGCUCACCAAGGCUGCGAUCAGUAGCCGUCCUGAGAGGGAGCACGGCCACACUGGAACUGAGACACGGUCCAGACUCCUACGGGAGGCAGCAGUGGGGAAUUUUUGGCAAUGUGGGCAACCCUGACCAAGCAACGCCGCGUGGGUGAGGAAGUACCUUGGUACGUAAAGCCCUUUCGGCAGGGACGAAGCAAGUGACGGUACCUGCAGAAGAAGCCCCGGCUAACUCCGUGCCAGCAGCCGCGGUAAUACGGGGGGGGCGAGCGUUGUUCGGAAUCACUGGGCGUAAAGGGCGCGUAGGCGGCCCGCACAAGUCUGCGGUGAAAACCCCCGGCUUAACCGGGGGCCGGCCGUGGAAACUGUCGGGCUGGAGGACGGGAGAGGGCGGCGGAAUUCCCGGUGUAGCGGUGAAAUGCGUAGAGAUCGGGA
This 656-nucleotide ribosomal RNA is filed under the name uncultured soil bacterium. Its description in RNAcentral is "bacterial SSU rRNA". It matches the Rfam family "Bacterial small subunit ribosomal RNA", at positions 33 to 702 of the family's 1533-position model. The record is from RNAcentral.